RNAcentral lists this ribosomal RNA (385 nucleotides) under uncultured bacterium. RNAcentral describes it as "bacterial SSU rRNA". It matches the Rfam family "Bacterial small subunit ribosomal RNA", at positions 30 to 410 of the family's 1533-position model. The record is from RNAcentral.
AGUGAACGCUGGCGGCAGGCCUAACACAUGCAAGUCGAGCGGCAGCGCGGGGGCAACCCUGGCGGCGAGCGGCGGACGGGUGAGGAAUGCAUCGGAAUCUACCUCGUUGUGGGGGGAUAACCUCGGGAAACCGGGACUAAUACCGCAUACGACCUACGGGUGAAAGUGGGGGACCUUCGGGCCUCACGCGAUGAGAUGAGCCGAUGCCGGAUUAGCUAGUUGGCGGGGUAAAGGGCCCACCAAGGACGACGAUCCGUAGCUGGUCUGAGAGGAUGAUCAGCCACACUGGAACUGAGACACGGUCCAGACUCCUACGGAGGCAGCAGUGAGGAAUAUUGGACAAUAGGCGGCAAGACCUGAUCCAGCACUAGCCGCGUGUGUGAAG